Molecule: small RNA, 59 nt
Filed under: Salmonella enterica subsp. enterica serovar Oslo
Lineage: Bacteria; Pseudomonadati; Pseudomonadota; Gammaproteobacteria; Enterobacterales; Enterobacteriaceae
Description: partial RtT sRNA
Rfam family: RtT RNA
About the family: This family represents a bacterial cis-regulatory element known as RtT RNA.
Source: RNAcentral
GCAGGCAACGACCCGAAGGGCGAAGCGCGCUGCGCUGAGUCAUCCUUCCCCCACCACCA